ACCGCCCGCCGCCAUCUCGGGGGAGCCGCCCGCCCGCCGCCAUCUUGGGUGGGGCGGCGCCAUCUUGGGGCCCGGGCACCGCUGCCCGCUCCGGUGGCUGCUGCCGCUCGCUUACGGCAGCUCGGGUCUCGUCUUCUUCCCAGCAGGGAGAGCAGGGGAUACAGCUGUCCCCUGCCCGGCCAGGCUUGGCCUGACGCCGGAGUGGGAGGCGGGCAAUGUAGGCCGUUGUCCCUGCUCCCCACAGAUGUCGUCAACAGCAUCCACACCUCUGGCAGGUCAGGUAUUUCAGGGGAGCUCCCACCCCAAGGCUUGCCCCUGCCCCGAGCACAAGCUCUGGCUGCAUCCAGCAAAAAUUAGCGUCUUGCAUUGAGAAAACAGUUCUGUCUACAAAGGGAGAGCCCAAACACAUUUCCAUAUCGUAAUGGGGGUGUAGAGGCAGAAGUGUGCAACAUGGGCAUUACCACCUGCUCUUGGGGUCAGUGGCCAGACUUGCUUUUGGAAUAAACAGCUUAUGUGUAUGUUGCAAAGUACAUAAAUCAGCAGCUUGCCUGCCGAGGACUAACAAGGCAGGAUGACUGCAAAUCCUUUGCCAGCCUCCUAGGCUGCUGCAUCUUUGAAAGCCUUAAAGCACCGUGAGGGCCUGUCCAGGCAGACUCGGCACGAGGCAAAGCCAUGACCUGCUGCUAGCUGCCAGCCCUGCCUCCUCACGGCCCCUGGUGCUGAGAAAACACGUGCUGUGGUACGGAUCCAUCCCUGUUACACAGAGCCGGGCAUUUGCCAUCUGCCCUUCGGAGGCAGCAGCAGCCAUAGCUGCACGGAGGAACGGCUCUCUGCAGGGCAGGCCAGCCUCUGAGUACAGACACAGGCAGUGAAACCAGCAGAGCUACACACAGAGAAAAGGACUUUCGGUUUUCUUAAAAGAAUUUAUUAUUUAAAUUUUAUAUAAAAACCAUAGAAUCAAUUAACACUAGACCAUUGCUGGCUUCCCAGAGGGCAUCAGAACCUUUUCCCAUGAUAAAAAAUACAAACCACGACAACAGCUAAACACAUUGUUCAGAAUUUCAGUAAAGCCAUUUGAUUUCCAAAA
Molecule: long non-coding RNA, 1087 nt
Organism: Aquila chrysaetos chrysaetos
Lineage: Eukaryota; Metazoa; Chordata; Aves; Accipitriformes; Accipitridae
Exons: 2
Source: RefSeq, a predicted model, not a curated record